This 525-nucleotide ribosomal RNA is filed under the name uncultured bacterium. RNAcentral describes it as "bacterial SSU rRNA". It matches the Rfam family "Bacterial small subunit ribosomal RNA", at positions 984 to 1509 of the family's 1533-position model. The record is from RNAcentral.
ACAUCCAGAGAACUUAGCAGAGAUGCUUUGGCGCCUUCGGGAACUCUGAGACAGGUGCUGCAUGGCUGUCGUCAGCUCGUGUUGUGAAAUGUUGGGUUAAGUCCCGCAACGAGCGCAACCCUUAUCCUUUGUUGCCAGCGGUUCGGCCGGGAACUCAAAGGAGACUGCCGGUGAUAAACCGGAGGAAGGUGGGGAUGACGUCAAGUCAUCAUGGCCCUUACGGCCAGGGCUACACACGUGCUACAAUGGCGCAUACAAAGAGAAGCGACCUCGCGAGAGCAAGCGGACCUCAUAAAGUGCGUCGUAGUCCGGAUUGGAGUCUGCAACUCGACUCCAUGAAGUCGGAAUCGCUAGUAAUCGUAGAUCAGAAUGCUACGGUGAAUACGUUCCCGGGCCUUGUACACACCGCCCGUCACACCAUGGGAGUGGGUUGCAAAAGAAGUAGGUAGCUUAACCUUCGGGAGGGCGCUUACCACUUUGUGAUUCAUGACUGGGGUGAAGUCGUAACAAGGUAGGCGUAGCGAG